GGGCAAGCUACUGCUGACACAUGCAGUCGAACGGUGAUGAGGAGCUUGCUCUUUUGAUCAGUGGCGAACGGGUGAGUAACACGUGAGCAAUCUGCCCUUGACUCUGGGAUAAGCGUUGGAAACGACGUCUAAUACCGGAUACGACCUUGGAAGGCAUCUUCUGGGGUGGAAAGAAUUUUGGUCGAGGAUGAGCUCGCGGCCUAUCAGCUAGUUGGUGAGGUAGUGGCUCACCAAGGCGACGACGGGUAGCCGGCCUGAGAGGGUGACCGGCCACACUGGGACUGAGACACGGCCCAGACUCCUACGGGAGGCAGCAGUGGGGAAUAUUGCACGAUGGGCGAAAGCCUGAUGCAGCAACGCCGCGUGAGGGACGACGGCCUUCGGGUUGUAAACCUCUUUUAGUAGGGAAGAAGCGAAAGUGACGGUACCUGCAGAAAAAGCACCGGCUAACUACGUGCCAGCAGCCGCGGUAAUACGUAGGGUGCAAGCGUUGUCCGGAAUUAUUGGGCGUAAAGAGCUCGUAGGCGGUUUGUCGCGUCUGCUGUGAAAACCCGAGGCUCAACCUCGGGCCUGCAGUGGGUACGGGCAGACUAGAGUGCGGUAGGGGAGAUUGGAAUUCCUGGUGUAGCGGUGGAAUGCGCAGAUAUCAGGAGGAACACCAAUGGCGAAGGCAGAUCUCUGGGCCGUAACUGACGCUGAGGAGCGAAGGCGUGGGGAGCGAACAGGAUUAGAUACCCUGGUAGUCCAUGCCGUAAACGUUGGGAACUAGAUGUGGGGACCAUUCCACGGUCUCCGUGUCGCAGCUAACGCAUUAAGUUCCCCGCCUGGGGAGUACGGCCGCAAGGCUAAAACUCAAAGGAAUUGACGGGGGCCCGCACAAGCGGCGGAGCAUGCGGAUUAAUUCGAUGCAACGCGAAGAACCUUACCAAGGCUUGACAUAUAGAGGAAACGGUUGGAAACAGUCGCCCCGCAAGGUCUCUAUACAGGUGGUGCAUGGUUGUCGUCAGCUCGUGUCGUGAGAUGUUGGGUUAAGUCCCGCAACGAGCGCAACCCUCGUCCUAUGUUGC
Molecule: ribosomal RNA, 1067 nt
Filed under: uncultured bacterium
Lineage: Bacteria
Also listed under: 1 other name
Description: bacterial SSU rRNA
Rfam family: Bacterial small subunit ribosomal RNA
Source: RNAcentral